RNAcentral lists this ribosomal RNA (846 nucleotides) under uncultured bacterium. RNAcentral's name for it is "bacterial SSU rRNA". It matches the Rfam family "Bacterial small subunit ribosomal RNA", at positions 13 to 858 of the family's 1533-position model. The record is from RNAcentral.
UUGAUCCUGGCUCAGGAUGAACGCUAGCGGCAGGCUUAACACAUGCAAGUCGAGGGGCAGCAUGUCCAGCAAUGGAUGAUGGCGACCGGCGGAAGGGUGCGUAACGCGUGAGCAACAUGCCCUAUACAGGGAGAUACACCAGGGAAACUUGGUCUAAUAUCCCAUAGCAUUCAUUGAAGGCAUCUUUAAUGAAUUAAAGCUUCGGUGGUAUAGGAUUGGCUCGCGUGACAUUAGCCAGAUGGUGAGGUAACGGCUCACCAUAGCAAUGAUGUCUAGGGGUUUUGAGAGGAAGGCCCCCCACACUGGGACUGAGACACGGCCCAGACUCCUACGGGAGGCAGCAGUGAGGAAUAUUGGACAAUGGAUGGAAAUCUGAUCCAGCCAUGCCGCGUGCAGGAAGACGGCCUUAUGGGUUGUAAACUGCUUUUAUACGGGAGCAAUAAGGGUUACGAGUAAUCCGAUGAGAGUACUGUAUGAAUAAGGAUCGGCUAACUCCGUGCCAGCAGCCGCGGUAAUACGGAGGAUCCGAGCGUUAUCCGGAAUUAUUGGGUUUAAAGGGUGCGUAGGCGGCCAUUUAAGUCAGCGGUGAAAUUUUGCAGCUUAACUGUAACAGUGCCGUUGAUACUGUUUGGCUAGGAUUUGGUUGUAGUGUGCGGAAUGUGUGGUGUAGCGGUGAAAUGCUUAGAUAUCACACAGAACACCGAUUGCGAAGGCAGCACACUAAGUCAUUAUUGACGCUGAGGCACGAAAGUGUGGGGAUCAAACAGGAUUAGAUACCCUGGUAGUCCACACUGUAAACGAUGAUAACUCGCUGUCGGCGAUACACAGUCGGGGCCAAGCGAAAGC